GAUUAGUGGCGAACGGGUGAGUAACACGUGAGCAACCUGCCCCUGACUCUGGGAUAAGCGCUGGAAACGGCGUCUAAUACUGGAUAUGUCCCGUCACCGCAUGGUGUGCGGGUGGAAAGAUUUUUCGGUUGGGGAUGGGCUCGCGGCCUAUCAGCUUGUUGGUGAGGUAAUGGCUCACCAAGGCGUCGACGGGUAGCCGGCCUGAGAGGGUGACCGGCCACACUGGGACUGAGACACGGCCCAGACUCCUACGGGAGGCAGCAGUGGGGAAUAUUGCACAAUGGGCGGAAGCCUGAUGCAGCAACGCCGCGUGAGGGAUGACGGCCUUCGGGUUGUAAACCUCUUUUAGCAGGGAAGAAGCGAGAGUGACGGUACCUGCAGAAAAAGCACCGGCUAACUACGUGCCAGCAGCCGCGGUAAUACGUAGGGUGCAAGCGUUAUCCGGAAUUAUUGGGCGUAAAGAGCUCGUAGGCGGUCUGUCGCGUCUGCUGUGAAAUCCCGAGGCUCAACCUCGGGCUUGCAGUGGGUACGGGCAGACUAGAGUGCGGUAGGGGAGAUUGGAAUUCCUGGUGUAGCGGUGGAAUGCGCAGAUAUCAGGAGGAACACCGAUGGCGAAGGCAGAUCUCUGGGCCGUAACUGACGCUGAGGAGCGAAAGGGUGGGGAGCAAACAGGCUUAGAUACCCUGGUAGUCCACCCCGUAAACGUUGGGAACUAGUUGUGGGGUCCUUUCCACGGAUUCCGUGACGCAGCUAACGCAUUAAGUUCCCCGCCUGGGGAGUACGGCCGCAAGGCUAAAACUCAAAGGAAUUGACGGGGACCCGCACAAGCGGCGGAGCAUGC
RNAcentral lists this ribosomal RNA (841 nucleotides) under Microbacterium esteraromaticum. RNAcentral's name for it is "bacterial SSU rRNA". It matches the Rfam family "Bacterial small subunit ribosomal RNA", at positions 90 to 942 of the family's 1533-position model. Lineage: Bacteria; Bacillati; Actinomycetota; Actinomycetes; Micrococcales; Microbacteriaceae. The record is from RNAcentral.